GAUGGGGUGCAGAGUUGGUGGGCGGCUUCUUCUGCAGGGGAAGAGGGAGUGCAGAGUUUGUUCUCACUGCAGCACACAUUUCCCUCCCCUUUUUGACUUUUCUUUCUAUUUUCUUUCUCUUUUCUUUCUUACUAACUUUAUUGACUUGUGUGCUCAACUUGAGCUAGUGGCAAUAAGUGGGCCAUGUAAUUCCAGCCUUUGUGAUAUUCUAGUCGAAUUUUUCCCAAGCUGGGAACUAAACUGUAAUCCGUGAACUGUAAAUAAAAUACUGGCUUCGAUUUUUAAUCAUCGCG
This 293-nucleotide long non-coding RNA is filed under the name Salvia miltiorrhiza (redroot sage). Its description in RNAcentral is "long non-coding RNA (SMIL_LNC003823)". The record is from RNAcentral. Lineage: Eukaryota; Viridiplantae; Streptophyta; Magnoliopsida; Lamiales; Lamiaceae.